GGUAGGUGUUGGAUAGCUACUCUAUAAUGUAAGUUGUAGAGAGGAAAGUCCGAACACAGUUUACCCCGUAUUUAUGCGGGGCGAAAAAUGAGUAGUGGGUAACGCCCGCAUGUAGUGAUGCAUAGUUGCGAACAGUGACGAACCGAUUUAGUUCGGGUGAAACGGCUAAAUACUUACUUCUGUGCAAGAUCGUGUCCAGCCCCACUUUUAAUAAAGUGGGGCUGGGAGAAUCGCUUGAGCCCGAGAGUAAUCGAGGGCCUAGACAAAUUGCUAUCGUCCCCGACCUUGGUCGAGGACCACAGAAUUCGGCUUAUAGACACCUACAACAA
This 329-nucleotide RNase P RNA is filed under the name Candidatus Nomurabacteria bacterium RIFCSPHIGHO2_01_FULL_40_24b. RNAcentral's name for it is "RNase P RNA component class A". It matches the Rfam family "Bacterial RNase P class A". From Rfam's summary of the family: Ribonuclease P (RNase P) is a ubiquitous endoribonuclease, found in archaea, bacteria and eukarya as well as chloroplasts and mitochondria. Its best characterised activity is the generation of mature 5'-ends of tRNAs by cleaving the 5'-leader elements of precursor-tRNAs. RNAcentral also lists the same sequence under 1 other name. Lineage: Bacteria; Candidatus Nomuraibacteriota. The record is from RNAcentral.